CUUCGGAGGACAAAGUGACAGGUGGUGCAUGGUUGUCGUCAGCUCGUGUCGUGAGAUGUUGGGUUAAGUCCCGCAACGAGCGCAACCCUUGAACUUAGUUGCCAUCAUUCAGUUGGGCACUCUAAGUUGACUGCCGGUGACAAACCGGAGGAAGGUGGGGAUGACGUCAAAUCAUCAUGCCCCUUAUGAUUUGGGCUACACACGUGCUACAAUGGACAAUACAAAGGGCAGCGAAACCGCGAGGUCAAGCAAAUCCCAUAAAGUUGUUCUCAGUUCGGAUUGUAGUCUGCAACUCGACUACAUGAAGCUGGAAUCGCUAGUAAUCGUAGAUCAGCAUGCUACGGUGAAUACGUUCCCGGGUCUUGUACACACCGCCCGUCACACCACGAGAGUUUGUAACACCCG
This 405-nucleotide ribosomal RNA is filed under the name Staphylococcus pseudintermedius. RNAcentral's name for it is "bacterial SSU rRNA". It matches the Rfam family "Bacterial small subunit ribosomal RNA", at positions 1017 to 1423 of the family's 1533-position model. Lineage: Bacteria; Bacillati; Bacillota; Bacilli; Caryophanales; Staphylococcaceae. The record is from RNAcentral.